GGAUGGUUGCAGACGUUCGCAUUCAUGCAAGAAGAUGUCAGGCUGCCAAUACCUUUGGGUCGAUAGUCCAUGUGUUGGAUGAUGCACUGCCAUUGAUCAGAACAGGCCGUGUAUAUUACAGUUGACCAAAGCUAUACUUGGAUACAAGACUGAUGACUCAAUAACCAGUAUUGACAACAGUGAAGAUGGUUAUGUCCCAAGGCCAUCAGGAUCAUAAGAGGAAGGCAAUUUCUAUGAAGAAAAUCUGACCGGAGACAUGUCAGCGAUUCGGGCCAAACAGCCAAUAACCAAGGGAAAGGUGGGACAAAAGAGGCUCACACGUUAAGCAUGUUUCCUGCUUCCUUCAGUCAGUUCAUUUUCACUCUGUAGUCAAAUCAAAUGUUAUUGGUCACAUACACAUGGUUAGCAGAUGUUUAUGCGAGUGUAGCAAAAUGCUUGUGCUUCUAGUUCCGACCGUGCAGUAAUAUCUAACAAGUAAUCUAACAAUUUUACAACAACUACCGUUAUCUCUUCAACCGAUCGCUUCCCACACCUGCCCGCCUGCCCAGCAUCACUACUCUGGACGGUUCUGACUUAGAAUAUGUGGACAACUACAAAUAUCUAGGUGCCUGGUUAGACUAAACUCUCCUUCCAGACUUACAUUAACCAUCUCCAAUCCAAAAUUAAAUCUAGAAUCAGCUUCCUAUUUUGCAGCAAAGCAUCCAUCACUCAUGCUGCCAAAUGUACCCUCAUAAAACUGACUAUCCUACUGAUCCUUGGCUUCGGCGAUGUCAUUUACAAAAGAACCUCCAACACUCUACUCUGCAAAUUGGAUGCAGUCUAUCACAGUGUCAUCCGUUUUGUCAACUACCCACCAUUGCGACCUGUAUGCUCCCACUGCCUCCAGGUCAUCUAUAAGUCUUUGCUAGGUAAAGCCCCGCCUUAUCUCAGCUCACUGGUCACCAUAGCAGCACCCACCCGUAGCACGCGCUCCAGCAGGUAUAUUUCACUGGUUACCCCCAAAGCCAAUUCCUCCUUCGGUCGCCUUUCCUUCCAGUUCUCUGCUGCCAAUGACUGGAACGAACUGCGAAAAUCACUGAAGCUGGAGACUCAUAUCUCCCUCACUAGCUUUAAGCACCAGCUGUCAGAGCAGCUCAUAGAUCACUGCACCUGUACAUAGCCCACCUGUAAUUAGCCCAUCCAACUACCUCAUCAUCAUACUGUUAUCUAUUUGAUUUAUUUUUCUCCUUUGCACCCCAGUAUCUCUACUUGUACACUCAUCUUCUGCACAUCUAUCACUCCGGUGUUUAAUUGCUAUAUUGUAAUUAUUUUGCCACUAUGGCCUAUUUAUUGCCUUACCUCCGUUAUCCUUCCUCAUUUGCACACACUGUAUACAGACAUUUUCUAUUGUAUUAUUGACUGUAUGUUUGUUUAUUCCAUGUGUAACUCUGUGUUGUUGUUUGUGUUGCACUGCUUUGCUUUAUCUUGGCCAGGUUGCAGUUGUAAAUGAGAACUUGUUCUCAACUAGGUUGAUAUCAGCUGCAUCCCUGAACUUCCAAAUCUCACUCCAGAAGCCCAGUGUGUUUUUUGUCUCAUUCCAUUUACUAAGAUGGAUGGCACGCCAUUGCUGGACAAUCUUAGUCUAUCUCUGCAGGGGAGUAGCCAAUGAGCUUGGCUAUUUUUUCUAUUUCUCCAGGGCUCUUAUUGUGCUUUAGAGUUUCCUCCACAUUGAAAACUGACAUGUACUGCAAUGCUUCGAUGUUGUCCGUCAGUCUCACCCUCAACACAUUAAUUAGUGAGGGAGAUGGUGAAGGCUACACACCGCUUUCAGACAUUGUUUUCAUCCUCAGGAGCAAGGUGGAGCUCAACUGCCUUUGACUCAAAAAGGUAACCAAGGUACGGUUUGGGACUGAUGUAUCCAUCUAUUUAUUGGCCUUUUGAGUACAUCAACAUUUGCCAGUGGAUUCAGCACCCUGCUGCUCACAGACUUGAUCAGGCUAACCAAGCUGUCAAGCAGCUUAAGAGGAUCUACUUGCUCUCCUUCAAAAGCCUUGAUGGCCAACUGUACCUCACCCAGCACUGACGUCAAAAAGUCAGAAACAAUAUGUUUUGAGGAUCACUGUACGUGGAGUAUAAAACCUCAACCAUGUAGCAGUGUUCACUGAACAUGGUGACAGCGAAAUGCAGCCUAAGAUCCUCCCACUGGUCCAAUAUGCGUGAAACCGCGGGUUCAAUGGAGAGCCAACGUGUGGCACACACCUUGGUUAUCUGUAAAGGUUUCUCCCCACAUUUGAUGGUCUCAUAUGGCCUUGUAGGCCUCCCUGCACAUUGGAGACACUGAAAACCAGUUAUAAAUGUCUCUCGUACCAAGUACUCCACACUACGGGGAUGGUGUCAUUGGAAGCAUGACUUACAGCAAGCUGCAGAGAGUGGCACACACAGCGAAUAAGAACCAGAUAUUUGAGGCCAUACUCCUCCUUCAGCACUUUAUGGACCCCAUUGUUAAUCCCCGUCAUAACAGAGGAAUUGUCAGUCCCUA
This is a long non-coding RNA of Oncorhynchus tshawytscha (Chinook salmon), 2518 nucleotides long. The record is from Ensembl. Lineage: Eukaryota; Metazoa; Chordata; Actinopteri; Salmoniformes; Salmonidae.